CUGGCCAAUCGCCCUUAGUGGAUAACGGCCAUUUCCCCGAGAAUGAAGAAGAAGAAGGAGGGUUAGUAUGAAUCGCAGGCUGACCUGAGGAAGAACUGUGCCCUCUGCAAAGUGUGCCUGUGGGAAACCCGUGGGAUGCCUCAGGCAUAGCAUGGGAGCAGCAACUGCCGGUAUUCUAUCCGAUACAACUCCAAACGCACGAGCACCUAUAUGCCAAUGUUUCGCUGUGUUCCAAGUCGCUACGAGCUGAACACUCAAGCAGCAACGCCAGAAAGACGACAAAGAUGCAGUUUAUUUUAUACAAGGUGGGGUGGCACGGUUAUAUUCUUCAUCUAAAUGCAAGGCCGCUGAAGAAAGCACUAACUUCACAAGAAUGCACCAAGUGUACUGUCCUUAGCGCAUCAAAUAUGGCAGUGGAUAACAGCAAUAUAUCAACAACGUCUGUGAUGGACUCGCUUUGUGUUUCAUGCAUGCUAUCACGGAGGAAGCUCGUGUGAAGAAUGUUUGGUCUGAAGGCUUUGGUGUUUGACUAAAUCUGUAUGCAUGUCAGCCAGCCACGUCCACGACUUUCAGGGACGAAACCAGAAUGCAGUUCUUCGCUUGUACUUUUUCUUGUCUUGGCAGCGCCUUGGAGCCUCUACACUGCUGCUACGCCUGUGGAAAUAAAAUAAUAUUAGGAUUA
Long non-coding RNA from Ornithodoros turicata, 682 nucleotides. RefSeq lists it as uncharacterized. The record is from RefSeq and is a predicted model, not a curated record. Lineage: Eukaryota; Metazoa; Arthropoda; Arachnida; Ixodida; Argasidae. The transcript is spliced from 3 exons.